Molecule: unclassified non-coding RNA, 1253 nt
Filed under: uncultured fungus
Lineage: Eukaryota; Fungi
Description: sequence contains 18S rRNA gene, ITS1, 5.8S rRNA gene, ITS2, 28S rRNA gene
Rfam family: Eukaryotic large subunit ribosomal RNA (bases 375-1253)
Source: RNAcentral
GGAAGGAUCAUUAACAAAAAUUGAACUUAAUAACUAACUGAAUCUUAGUGCGAUUAGCACUAAAUUAAACUUAUAUUGUUUUACAAUAUAACUAAGUUGUAUGGUUGAUAUAAAAAUUAAAUUUUCAACGAUGGAUGUCUAGGCUCCCAUAACGAUGAAGAACGCAGCGAAAAUGCGAUAUGCAAUGUGAAUUGCAGAACCACGAAUCAUUUGAUCUUUGAACGCAAAUGGCGCUGGCAUUACCAGCAUACUUGUUUCAGUGUGCCUAAACAAAUAAAUAAUAAAAAUGUAAGAGAAAAUUCUCUUAUUAAAUAUAUGCUCCAAGUAGCAGUCGCAUUUUUAUGUGAUCUACAUGGAUGAAAAUUGACUUAUUCGCACCUGAAAUCAAGUAAGAACACCCGCUGGACUUAAGCAUAUUAAUAAGCGGAGGAGAAGAAAUUAACUAAGAUUGCCUUAGUAAGGGCGACUGAACCGGCAAAAGCUCGAAAUUAAAAUCGGUCAUUCAAUGAAUUACCGAAUUGUAAUCAGGGUGCCCUAAAUACGUGAAGUAACUAAAGUGUAUCGAAAGACACGCCAAAGAGGGUAAAAGCCCCGUAAAGUUAUUUCACGAGUAACGGGAACUCGAAAAAGAGUCGUGUUGCUUGGAACUGCAGCACUAAGCGGGAGAUAUGAUUCUCCCAAAGCUAAAUAUGGAUGGGAGACCGAUAGCGAACAAGUACUGUGAAGGAAAGAUGAAAAGGACUUUGAAAAGAGAGUGAAAAGAUCUGAAAUCGUUGAGAAGUAAGCGGUUAAAACUGAUCGAGGUUAUGACUGUGCAACGAGGCCAAAAGUCUCAGAGUACAGACCAAAAACCCUGGACAAAAUGAGGAUAAAUGAGCUAAAAAAGGCUAAGCCGAUUAAGGUUUAUCUAUCCUAAGGGACUAUUGUGAUUUUGUCUAAAAGGUUUUAACCGUCCCGUCUUGAAACACGGACCAAGGAGUCUAUCACAUAUGCGAGUGUGCGAGUGUAAAAACUUAUACGCGUAAUGAAAGUAAAAGGUGCGAAGCUACGCAGCAGCAUCGACCGGCCUAGUACGAAAGGUCUGAGUAUGAGCAUAUUAGAUAGGACCCGAAAGAUGGUGAACUAUGCCUGAGUAGGGUGAAGUCAGGGGAAACUCUGAUGGAGGCUCGUAGCGGUGCUAACGUGCAAAUUGCUCGUCAAACUUGGGUAUAGGGGCGAAAGACUAAUCGAACCAUCUAGUAGCUGGUUCCCUC